UCGUGGAUUGAUUUGUCUGGUUAAUUCCGAUAACGAACGAGACCUUAACCUACUAGUUAGUUGCGCAUGGGUUUUACUCAUGUUUUCUUGCAACUUCUUAGAGGGACAGCUGGCUUUUAGCCAGAGGAAGUUUGAGGCAAUAACA
This 145-nucleotide ribosomal RNA is filed under the name uncultured eukaryote. RNAcentral's name for it is "partial 18S ribosomal RNA". It matches the Rfam family "Eukaryotic small subunit ribosomal RNA", at positions 1299 to 1458 of the family's 1831-position model. The record is from RNAcentral.